UACAGUCACUUUGUCCAAGUGGGCCAAACCUCCGACUUUUAACUGUGAAUGUGGGCCAAGGUGUCAUACAGUCACUUUGUCCAAGUGGGCCAAACCUCCGACUUUAACUGUGAAUGUGGGCCAAGGUGUCAUACAGUCACUUUGUCCAAGUGGGCCAAACAUCCUACUUUAAACUGUGAAUGUGGGCCAAGGUGUCAUACAGUCACUUUGUCCAAGUGGGCCAAACAUCCUACUUAAACUGUGAAUGUGGGCCAAGGUGUCAUACAGUCACUUUGUCCAAGUGGGCCAAACAUCCUGAUUAAACUGUGAAUGUGGGCCAAGGUGUCAUACAGUCACUUUGUCCAAGUGGGCCAAACAUCCGACUUGAACUGUGAAUGUGGGCCAAGGUGUCAUACAGUCACUUUGUCCAAGUGGGCCAAACAUCCGACUUUGAACUGUGAAUGUGGGCCAAGGUGUCAUACAGUCACUUUGUCCAAGUGGGCCAAACCUCCGACUUUAACUGUGAAUGUGGGCCAAGGUGUAGUUCAGUUCCAAAGCAUCAUGCAACUGUCAAGACGAGGAGUCUGUCUCUGAUGGAUAGUUACUACAGAAGUCAUACCAUAAUUUCUUUUGUGGAGUUAGGCCCUGGGCCUCAUUCUGUGAAUUAAUAUUAGCGCUAUGAUUACUCUAAAAUCAUUUUCAAGUAUGGGAGCUGUCCAUGAGAUUUUAAAGAUUUCUGAAUGCAACAAGGCCCUUGGCACUGUGACCAUCUUUGUCAAGUCCAGGUUAAGGACCUCUUUGUAGUUUAUCGUUCCUGAUUAACAGCAUUUAAUUGUGUACAUGUAUACAUGCGUGCAUGCAGAUCAUUUGCAUUCCUGAAGUAUAUUUUAUAUUAAAAAUGAUUGCAUUUAUCUUGUCGAUAUGUAUGCUAUUGUUCUCAGUGUAUGUUGUGUAUUAUCAUUUGUUAUUGAAGCAUGGAAAAAUAACUAAUGUGGGUUGAUGACAUGAGCCUGUAACAUGCUACUGUUCACAAUUUCAGGUGGUAAAUUGUAAAAUCCUUUUAUUAUGAAUGUAGCCAGUAUAAAAUCUUGCAUACUACAAUUGUAAAUUCACUAAACCAGCAAUGCAUGUUGUGUUUACCAGUGGGUGUGUUCAGUGUGAAGUCCUUGUGUGAAGUCAUUGUGUGGUGCCUGUAACUCUGUAUAUGCAAUAUCUAGAGGACUAUGUGUAACACUGCAAUGUUUCAUUGUACACAGACACAAAGGACACUUUAAGCAUCAUUACAUGUCUCACCAUGUUCACAUCAGAUGGUGUUCACGUCAGAUUGUGUUCACAUCAGAUGGUGUUCACAUCAGAUGGUGUUCACAUCAGAUGCUGUACACGUCAGAUGGUGUUCACAUCAGAUGCUGUACACGUCAGAUGGUGUUCAAGCCCAUUGUGGCUGUACCUGACAUUUGUAAGUCUCUGUGUUUGAAUUAUACAUAUAUUGUGAUAUUUAUUUCAUACAAUAACCUACACAAACAAUAAAAUAUCCAACCACUA
This is a long non-coding RNA of Haliotis rubra (blacklip abalone), 1521 nucleotides long. RefSeq lists it as uncharacterized. Lineage: Eukaryota; Metazoa; Mollusca; Gastropoda; Lepetellida; Haliotidae. The record is from RefSeq and is a predicted model, not a curated record. The transcript is spliced from 2 exons.